UUUAAAGCUUCCUCUGAGCCCUCGGCCCUCAAAGCUGCAACUUCAUACACGAGAGCUGUCGCCAUACAAUCUUUUUUUGUAGGGACAUUCUCAGAAACAAAGUUUUUUUUCUCAGGCACAAUGAACAAUAUAAACAGCAGGUGGUCCACAUUAGGGGAAGACGAGAAGCAGAAAUACUACAAGAGGCAGCAGCACUGAGGGGACAAGGGCAGGCUGAGGACCGUAGCCCUGAGAUGAGGCUCAAAAAUUAAAAAGCAACAAACCAGGGCGCUUGACAGAGGUGCAACGUACAACGACGAUUUGACACAGAACAAAGGAAGAACACGGACUAAAUACAUAUAUAUAUAUAUAUAUCUACAGCAGCUACUUCAGGAAGAGUGCUAAUCGUACAGCUGUACUGGCUACAGCAGAGUGCUUGGGCCUGGAUAACCUGAAAGUGAAGGAAGUGAAGGACAAUGAACUCAAGAAAUGACCAACAGCCAAGGGGAUGUAUGGCUUUCUGGCCACCUACCGCUUUGUGGCAUCGGUAUACCUGCAAGUGGAUGUGCUGCCACAUCUCAGCUGGCUGUCAAAGGUCUUCCAGAAGGAAAAUGUAAACUUGAGACCAUGAGACCAUCAGCCACCUGGGUCUUUCCUGUCAAAGCUCCACACAGACCUGGACAACCCUGUGGGACUCAGGGCUUAUAAUAUUGUCCAUGAGGAGGAGAGGAACAAGAGAGGAAGACGUAAA
Molecule: long non-coding RNA, 730 nt
Organism: Siniperca chuatsi (mandarin fish)
Lineage: Eukaryota; Metazoa; Chordata; Actinopteri; Centrarchiformes; Sinipercidae
Exons: 3
Source: RefSeq, a predicted model, not a curated record